Non-coding RNA from Vicia faba (fava bean), 137 nucleotides. NCBI's taxonomy places the organism in Eukaryota, Viridiplantae, Streptophyta, Magnoliopsida, Fabales, Fabaceae. The record is from the annotation of a GenBank genome assembly.
UAUUUCAUUUUCGAAAUCUCCGCCUCCCGCUGCCACAUCUCACCGUCUCACGCCGCCACCGGACUGCAUCUUCUUCCCUAACUAACUUCUUGAGGAUAUUUAUAUGCCGGAGUAGGAGUUUGCAAUGUGUGUCAUAA